RNAcentral lists this unclassified non-coding RNA (520 nucleotides) under uncultured Paraglomus. RNAcentral's name for it is "SSU rRNA". It matches the Rfam family "Eukaryotic small subunit ribosomal RNA", at positions 569 to 1096 of the family's 1831-position model. The record is from RNAcentral. Lineage: Eukaryota; Fungi; Glomeromycota; Glomeromycetes; Paraglomerales; Paraglomeraceae.
AGCAGCCGCGGUAAUUCCAGCUCCAAUAGCGUAUAUUAAAGUUGUUGUGGUUAAAAAGCUCGUAGUUGAACCUUGGGCCUGGCUGGCCGGUCCGCCUCACCGCGUGUACUGGUCCGGCCGGGCCUUUCCCUCUGUGGAACCCCAUGCCCUUCACUGAGUGUGGCGGGGAAACAGGACUUUUACUUUGAAAAAAUUAGAGUGCUCCAGGCAGGCCUAUGCUCGAAUACAUUAGCAUGGAAUAAUAGAAUAGGACGUGUGGUUCUAUUUUGUUGGUUUCUAGGACCGCCGUAAUGAUUAAUAGGGACAGUCGGGGGCAUCAGUAUUCAAUUGUCAGAGGUGAAAUUCUUGGAUUUAUUGAAGACUAACUACUGCGAAAGCAUUUGCCAAGGAUGUUUUCAUUAAUCAGGAACGAAAGUUAGGGGAUCGAAGACGAUCAGAUACCGUCGUAGUCUUAACCAUAAACUAUGCCGACUAGGGAUCGGACGAUGUUAUUAUUGACUCGUUCGGCACCUUACGGGAA